GGAAGUAAAAGUCGUAACAAGGUUUCCGUAGGUGAACCUGCGGAAGGAUCAUUAGUCAUUUGAAUCGUUACCUUCAGUGCUGGCUGGUCCUCCAGCAAGUGCACGUUGGUGACUUUCAUCCAUACCCCUGUGCACCUUUGGCCUCUUGCUGGCUUCGGCUGGCAGAGGAUUUUACACACAACUCGAAUGUAAUGAAAACUACUGUUGUGCGCAAGCACUACCUAAUGUACAACUUUCAACAACGGAUCUCUUGGCUCUCGCAUCGAUGAAGAACGCAGCGAAAUGCGAUAAGUAAUGUGAAUUGCAGAAUUCAGUGAAUCAUCGAAUCUUUGAACGCACCUUGCACCCUUUGGUAUUCCGAAGGGUAUGCUCGUUUGAGUGUCAUUGUACUCUCACUCUCUCUGAUCGUUUGGAUUGGGAGUGGUGGACUUGGGUGUUGCUGCUGCUGUGCUUAUUGCUGCGCGGUGGCUCACCUGAAAUGCAGUAGUGCAACUCCUGGUUGGACAUAGUACGGCGUGAUAAGUGUCUUCGCCGGCGCCUCGAAAGAGGGUGGCUGAUUGGGAGCUCUGUGCUUCAUAAACCGUCUUCGGACAAUCUCUGACAACUUGACCUCAAAUCGAGUAGGAUUACCCGCUGAACUUAAGC
This 645-nucleotide ribosomal RNA is filed under the name uncultured fungus. Its description in RNAcentral is "eukaryotic LSU rRNA". The stretch from base 231 to 384 matches the Rfam family "5.8S ribosomal RNA". Lineage: Eukaryota; Fungi. The record is from RNAcentral.